Molecule: long non-coding RNA, 4592 nt
Filed under: Capsicum annuum
Lineage: Eukaryota; Viridiplantae; Streptophyta; Magnoliopsida; Solanales; Solanaceae
Description: long non-coding RNA (CANN_LNC013707)
Source: RNAcentral
CCUAGUUGGAACAUAUAGAAACGGACUUCAGUUUACAAACACUUGAAUAAGAAGUUUCUGCAGAAAUAGAUAAAAAAUACAUGACAGCAAGUACCUCACAUCUUUUGAUUCACAAGAUCAGACCUGACAGUAACAACAACAACAAUAAUAACAUACCUAGUGAAAUCUUAUAAGUGGGGUCUUGAGAGGGUAAAGUGUAUGCAGACCUUACCCCUAUCCUGCGGAGGUAGAGAGGUAUUUUCAGAACGACCCUCAGCUCGAAUACACCAAACCAAAGUAGGUAUACAAAGGGAAAGCAUCAUUGAAGAAAAUAUAGGAACUAAUAUGGAAACAUAACAAUAACAAAAUAGUACGACAAUCGAAAUACCAUAUACAGCAGAUGAUGAGAUUGACAUGCUUUAACACUAAACUAUAAAACUAAUUAUUUAUCAUUAUGCAAUUUUCAAACCAACAACAUAUAUGAAAUCAUGUCUUUUUUUUCUAAAACACCAAGUUAACAGAUCUUCUUUCCACAUCCUCUCUUCUUUUACCCUUACUCUAGUUCAAUGGUUUUCUCAAACUCACGCUACCAAUUCAAGACUCCGACAACCAAAUUCACUUGAAGCCAAACCCACAGAUUACAGAAAAGUAUCAUCAGAAUCAACUGAUAUUUCAAGAGAAUAAAUCAGCAGCUCAACCAACUUUCCUAAUCUAAAGUAACUGUAAAUUAGAAUUAUAAAUUGAGGACAAGCCUUCUCAUAAUAGUUCAAACAAAAAAAGCAAGGACAAUGUAACAACCAUAGCUAAGAAAGCCCAGGUCCCUCCUCAAAACAAACAAUUUUUCUACAACCAAUACAAGGAAGCUGGAAAACCAAUUAUGCAAGGCAUGACAGUAAAUUAGAAAACAGAGAUCCUCGUUCUUCCAGAGUUAUACAAUAUGCCAACCAAACUAUCCUGUAGAAGGCAAAUAAUUGUAGUAUUGUUAGGUACAUGCACUAAAACAAUAAGAUGGAAGCAAGAACAAGGUUGAUAUAUCUAAAUUGCAACUAACUCAUUCUAAGGAAAGGGAAGAGAUUUUCCUGAGUCUCUCCUAAUCUCUCCUUUCAACAACAUAUCCAGCGUAAUCCCACAAGCGGGUUCUAGAAAGGGUACAAUGUAUGUAGACCUUUAUAACACUUAAAAAAACUGGUCAUAGCUUUUCUAAUAAGCGACUUAUAGAUUAAAGUGAGUAGUUGAUGGAAAAAUCAAAUGGGAAAACAACUUACGUUCACAUUUUUUUUCUAAUUCAAAGGCAAAUAAACACGCAUUAAUCAAAUGGGAAAACUUGUGUUGACAAUUUUUUUUUCUUUAUAGUGCAAUGCAAAUAAAAAUAGUAUUGGCAUUUAGGCAUCUUUAAAAAGGAUAAUUAGCAUCUCAUCACCAAAUACCUAUGAUAAUACAUAACAUGAAUUAGAUUAACCACAUUUACUAAAAAAAAUAUAAAUUAGAUGGAACUAAUCAAAGGAAGCAAUGAAAGUAUUUAUCUGAAUAACUAAUUAGCUCAACCAAAAGAUACAUCUAGAUAACUAAAGAAAAAAGCAGCCAAAAGUUAUUCUUUCCACCACCUAGUCAACAUUAGACUCAUCCACACUAUUUAUCUCGAAGAGUUAACAUGAAUCAGCUAUACAGUAAAACAACACAAAAAUAUAAAUAUCAAAUAUAAAAUUAAAAAAAAGUGUCACCAAUAAUACCGACAGGACAUGGUCAUUUGUAACUAUAACUCAUACACUGAAUCAACACCAUUGAAACGCUUCAAACCACAGAGAGCACUCAAAAUAAUACGUACAAAAUAAUAAAUCUAGCACCAGCAACGAUUAUUAAAAGUGUAACAGCAAGAUUAAAGGGACAAUGACAUUAACAGCAGCUGCAUAAUUGAUAUAGCUUCGAAAACAUGUAUCUGAUCAUGUACAGAGAGUAAGCAUUUCAAGCACCAACCAAUUAAGACUUCCCAUUGUCAACAGCUUCAUAACCACACUACUAACUACUAAAUGCAGCAAAAUAAAGGUAACAAAAAGACCAUAUCCAAAAUUACAGAAAAGAUAAAGGUGACUAUAUGUACCGGAAACAUGAUAAGUUCAAAUCUCAAACCAAUAGAAAGUAAAGGGUUUCAAAGAAAAUGAUCAACGACCACCGCUAGUGCAUUCACGAGCAAAAUUCCUGUCUUCACCACACUUAAAGCAACCAACUCCUCCUCCACCACUGCCUCUAGCAUAACCACCACCAUAACCACAGCUACCACCUCGGUCACCACCAACUAACCCCAAAAGCUGAACUAAUGUAUCUCGAAGAAUCGACAAAGAUAUAAAGCCGGGUGGAGCAUGGGCUGCCCCUGGCCCACCUGUUAAUGCGGCGGAAUACCUGGAGCUUUCUCAAUCUCAGGAGUUGAGACAAGAUCGGGUAAUGGAUCCCUAGCUUGAUCUCAAAAAGGGGCUGCUACUCUACCCUACCCCUGAUAUCUAGGUCAUCCUCGACCCCAAGCUAGAACUCAAGAAGCAGACCCAGGUCCCGAUCCCCAAAUCUCGAACCUCGUGUCCUAGCCAUCUACGUAAAAAGUGAACCAGUAAAAACUACAACCAACUUAGACCCAACGCACGAAAAUAGAUCAAGAAAAUGAGAUUGUUCCCUAAAAAUGCUCUGUAGCCUCCCGAAGAUAGGAUACAGACAUCUCUGUGCUGAUUUGCGAGACUUUACUAAAUAUUGGCUCUAGUACUAACAAUACCAGUGAGACCUAGGAUCUGAUACCAAUCUUUCACGACCCGAUUUAUCAAGUCAUGAUGGCGCCUACUUUAACCCACCAUUAGGUAAGCCAAGCCAUAGUCCAGAAUGAUAAGUAACGGGCUAACAAACAGAAACCAAAUAAAGGAUCAUGUAUAAUAAUAAUAAGUAAAAACUAAGAAAGGAGCAUAUAUAUUAUAUCAAAAUGAGAUGAGAAAAAAAAAGGACCAACUUAUAAUGAAGAGCCACUACUAAAGAUACCCAAAGUACUAGACAAAAAUAAAAUAAAAUUUCUAUAAUAUACACAAAUAGUCUCGAGUGCAAAAGACUAACUAGAGUAGAUAGAGAAAAAACAGCCUCGGAUGACAACAAGAUCACCAUGCUCUGAAUCAGUACUGAAAGGCAGGAAUCACAUCAAUGUCGACUGCUAGGGCCGGAUCUACAUCAAGAAAAAGAUACAGAAGUGUAGUAUGAGUACCAAAAACCACGGGUACUCAGUAGGCAUCAUCGGCCGACUGAGCUCAAUAUAGAAAAUUUAUAACUACAAUGUGAGGGAGUAAUCUGAGUCUUCAGUAAAUAGGGAUGGAAAGGCAACCAACUACCAAGCUACGCAACGGCUGUAAAGGAAUAAACAUAAGCGAUAUAGUAAAAUGAAUAAUGCAGUAAUAACAUUCAAAUCAAACAUAACCUAAAUGGGCCCCCAUAAGCCCGCUAGGCACAUAACAUAACCUAACUGGGCCCCAUAAGCCCGUUAGGCACACUGAAGAAGGCAAUUAACCCAUUCGUACCCCCAUAAGCCGGUGGAACACACAAGUAAUGACAAUAAACAUAAAUAAUCUAUAACGGCGUUGAUCCCCAUAAAUCAUAAUAGUCUUCCAGAUGUGUACCGGACUUGAACCGGCACCAAUGGGUAAUAAUGAGAGGCCAUAUAUAUAGAAUUCAUAAUCAGAUGCCGGACACGAAUCAGAACUCAUAGUAAUCACAAUAAUCAUUUGCUGGACUCGAACCGAAACUCAUAGUAACCACAAUGAUCAUUUGCCGGACUCAAACCGGAACUCAUAGUAACCACAAUAAUCAUAUGCAGGACUAGAACCGAAACUCAUAGUAACCAUAAUAAUCAUUACCGGACUCGAACCGGAACUCAUAGUAACCAUAAUAAUCAUUUGCCGAACUCGAACCGGAACUCAUAGUAACCAUACCCACCAAAAAUAUUAAAAUUUAUACCAUAUCAUAACAAUGUCAAUGUCUAAAUAAUCAUCCGUUAAUCUUAAUUCAAAAUAAAUAAAUUUAAGAUUUUGCAAUUUAAUUUCACGUUCUAAAAUAAUAGGUGUUAUUUUAUGUUAAAAGAUAAUAUUUCAAUAUUUAUUAAAACAGGGUCCUAAUCCGGAUAAAUAAGACAAUUCAUAUAUAUAUAUAUAAAAAAUACGUAUCUACAAGGAUUUAUCCGAAACUAACAUAAUAGUUAACAUUUUCAGAAAAUAAGCCCAAUCUAAAGAUAGGAUAAACCUAGCCUACCUGAACGCCAAAGCUAUAAUAUCUUCUUGUGAAGCCUCCAAAUAGUACCCCGCUAGAACUUGAGCUUGAAUUAAUCUUGAUUUAGAUAAUUAACUUCUAUUUGGAGAUCAAAUAAAUUGCCAAAAUAUUUCCUACCAUUUAACCCCUCCCAACGCAUCCACAAGAAUAUAUUUAAAGCUGCUGGCAGAACACCAACUCCAGCAUAACCUUUGAGCAGAAUAAGAAGAACUAUCCGAUUUGAUAAUUGGCUAUAUGACAAAAAGAAAUCAAAUAUUGGAAUUGAAAUCUUUCAGGAAAAGGAAAGUGGUACAGUUUAGUGGCCUAAAUGCCAUUCACUUAUUUUU